RNAcentral lists this unclassified non-coding RNA (622 nucleotides) under Hevea brasiliensis (rubber tree). The record is from RNAcentral. Lineage: Eukaryota; Viridiplantae; Streptophyta; Magnoliopsida; Malpighiales; Euphorbiaceae.
CUUGUGGAUCCUCAUAAUCACUAGAAGAUGCUAGGAAACUCGGAGGUGCCGGUCGACGUAUUGACCACAAGAAUCGAUAACCGCUAUGCUCUAGUGCACAAGCAAUCUCUUUCACUUGAUUCUCCCUAAAGCUCCCCUUGCUACCAAAGCACAAGAAUACUACUGACAAUGGAGGCUGAUCAUCAAGCCAGUGCAUGAUUUCCUUGUGACUGUUUCUUCCAUCUAACCCCACAUCUAAAAUAGGUCCCAUAGGGUAAACAGGAGGCAUUUUUAAAGACUCAAUCGCAUAGGAUUCCAACUCCAAGAAUGUAUUUCCUAUAAUACCCUUAGCUUCUCUAAACCUUCUCGUGUUGUCAAGCAUAAAAGGAAACCACUCUUUGCUCAACAAUGCAGAAGGCAUAACCCUACCGGGAAAUGGGUUUACCAAACUUGGCACUUUCAACUCAGCAUCUGAGUCCUUGAACUCAGUGGGGUCAAAUUUCUCUUCAUCAUAAAUCUUUUGCACAUAAAGCAUGAAGCCAAGAAAAGCUGCGCCCGAUGUAAAGAAAAUGUAACACGGAACCCCAAAUUCAUUAGCCACAUCUAUCAUCGACGAGCAGAAUGUAUCAACGACAAAACCUAC